Non-coding RNA from Caenorhabditis elegans, 207 nucleotides. The record is from Ensembl. Lineage: Eukaryota; Metazoa; Nematoda; Chromadorea; Rhabditida; Rhabditidae.
UUCUCAUACUCACAAACAUGAAAGAUGGCAAAAGUAUUAAUUGGAGAGGAGCCUCCGUAGUGUGCUUCGGCUUCUUUUAUUGAAGUCUUCGAAGUGUCCGACAUUGAUCCGAAGUGUGACGGCGACAACGACCACUUGAAGACGGCGAAAAACUUAGAGGCGCCCCGGUCGGAGCAAAAGAAGACGCAAAAAGGGGCAAAAAGGGAA